Lotus japonicus is the source of this 3027-nucleotide long non-coding RNA. RefSeq lists it as uncharacterized. The transcript has 4 exons. Lineage: Eukaryota; Viridiplantae; Streptophyta; Magnoliopsida; Fabales; Fabaceae. The record is from RefSeq and is a predicted model, not a curated record.
AAAUGAAAUUCCAAAAUUACCCUUUGUUAUUAGUGUUGGAAAGUGGAAAAGAGAGAGAAUAAUUAAUGAGACACAUUUUACAAGUUAGAAUUAAUAAGGGCAUCAUUGGAAAAAAUUAAUUAAUAUAGCUCAAACUUUCAUUUGGUUCUUAUAAAAAGGACCAAGAUUUUUCUUCUCUUUCAUGCUUAUAAAUAGGACCGGAGGGAGUAUUACUGAUUGAUUUCUAAAUCCCGGUUACUGUUCACGGGUCAAAUUUUUUUUUUUGGGACAACUACAUUUUUCUUUUGUUCUGCUGAGAUUUUGUCUUAUUAAGCUGAUACCCAUUUUGUUACACACUUUGAUCAUCCCCUACAAAGGUUGACGUCCCACACAGUCCCUCAUCAUGUGCUUUGCCUUUCCCCCUGCUCAAGGAUUCUUGAAGAAAGGGCAUGGUCUAUACCUGCAAUCAGCAAUUGCGUGGGUUGAUACUCCCCAAGCCUCUCCGUCAUCUCCCCUCAUGCUGCCAUUACCAGUUGUGUUUAUGUUGCUUUACAGUUGGAUUUCAAACUUCGGUUGAUACUCCUCCUCCUCCUUGGGUUAUGCCUUCCCAACCUACAUUAUGUGUCCUAGGUACAGUUGUAUCAUCCUAUUCGUGUCAUCUCCUGCUACAACCCUAGCAGCUUCAACCUCCACUGCGCCCCAGCUUCAUCAUCUCAAGCUUCCAAAACCAGCUGUCCAAGUUGCUUUACAAGUUUUGUGCCUAUACUCUAUUUUGAAUUCACCCCCUGUAUACUGUUCGUGAUUUUGAAUACAGUCCAAAAACACAUGAGAAUCGAAAGCAGGAGAUAGAUAAGUUGGUGCAAGAUCAGGAAAGUUUUAGGGGUUCUCUGUUGCAAUGGUGCUACACCAGUUAUGGAGAGAUCCUCUUAAUGUGUGACUGGUUGCAGGAAGGGAAGUUGAUUGUGCAGAGACAGAGGUUUGGGACCUGAUCAAAUGGGAUGUAAUCAAUGACAGAUCAAGGUUGAUGGGGAUAUCUAGAAGAAGGAGCAUGGAAUGCUAUACAUGUCAUAGAGGUAAAGUAUCUUUACGUUGAGUUGAAGGCUAAGUAUUGAUAACUGCAUUUUUUUCUUUUUUGAUUCAGUUGAAAGUUUUGGAGUUUACAUGACAUUUACUAUUUAGUUUUUAGAUUGAUAUCAUGUCUUAAAAGUAGUAACCACCUUAGCACAUGUGAGAGAGAAUCUGAUUUGGGUUUCCAGCUUCAAGUUGGGUUUCUGGAUUUUGAGAAUCUAAUUGCAGAGCGAGUGAGAAAGGUUAUGCUUACAUGUUUCCCUUUUUUUCAUUCCCCUAUUUGUUUGACUGUAGUAUCUAAAAGAAAAACUUAUCACUCUCUUUAUAUGCUUCCCAAAGAAUAACUUGACUAUCAAGUAGAAAAAGUCUAUAUUGUUAGUUGGUGAGAUUUAAAGACCUGAGGAAUGGUUGUGAUAAUUACUUGAUUAUCUAAUCGAAAAAGUCCUUAUCUGCACUACCGAACCAUAAACAUGGUAUUUUCAAGCAGUCGUUGUGCCAUUAAGUUCUGUCACAUGGACACAGGUUUGCUGUAUGAUUUCUGUUUCUUUGAGUCAUAUGUUAGUUUCUAAUUGUUUCCUUCAUGUUAGCUGUACGAGUAGUUAAUUAGCUAACAAUAUUUGGGUAGGCAUUAGACAGAUUGUUUUUUCUUAUGGCAUCUCAAUCAUGAUGAUCGAAGUUCAGGCAUUUGUUAUUGUCAAUGCAAAGUUUGACAUUCUUAUAACAAUUAAGGAGAUGAUAAUGUUAACUGUUAACACAGGUAGUCAAUUAUUAACCAUAUAAUCCUAAUAUCAGUUUACAUGUCAGAAAAGAAUGUUGGAAAAAGUCCUAUAGAUGUAUCAAGAUAGAAUUAUGUAAAUUAAUCCUCUGCUUGGUAGUCCCAAAGGCAUACUGAGCAUCUGCAAUAAAAUAUACUAUAGAUGAGGAAAACUAAAGAUAGCAGAGGUUUGCGUUCAAGAAAGAUUCCGAAUAUAAAAACAACAGAAGAAAUGAAGCUCAAAAUCUGACAAAAUGGAGCAGGGUAGAGGUCAUGUUUUUCUAGUUUUCUACUGCCGUUUUGACAUGUGUGUGCAAUUCUGGGUUUAGUUCAAGUUUUUGUGUGAGUUUUGGCAUAGUUGGGACUACGUUUCUUAUGCUCUGGCUGGGAGGUUUGAGAUGGUUAUGGGGGGUUUUGGUUGUAGGCAGGGGCCAAGGGUUGGUACUUAUAAUAUUAUUUUUAUGAAGUGGUGUGUUAGAGGGAUGAGAUUUUUCUAUUUUUAGUUCAUGGAUGGUUUUCAUUAUAUGUUCUGUUUUGGGUAGGAUUGCAGAUUCGUCUUCUUUUUUCUGCAUAAUGCUCUUUUUGCAAUAUGUUCUUGUGUGUAGUAUGGUUUAUGCAGGAACUUUUUGAGCUGUGUAGCACGGUGGGACUGUGUAGAUGGGGCAUAUUUUCUGUCUUGCACCUUGGCUCCUUGGGCUAUUGUGAGGCAUCAUCAGUGGUGGUUUCUUUGGGUCAUUGCGUUGUUCUGAUUUGUGCUAAAUGUGAGGAAAGAUGGAUCUUCAAAUAAGGGUGUGCUCACUUUGGAUAAAGGGAGUAUGCUGGUGCUGUUUUAUGGAGUAAAUGAUGGCUUCACAUGAAUUUUUUUUGCUAGGAAUUAAGUUGCUGGUGUGUUAUGUUGGGUGUAAUGUUUGAUUUUGAGGUUUUUCUGAUUAUGUACUAAAGUCACCCUAGAGUUUGUUGUACGCUUUUUCCUUCCAAGGGAAUGAUGAAUAUCAUUUGUUCAGAAACUGAAAGCAUGCAUCUUGAAGAACUAAUUCACUGGGCUCUCUUAAGCAUAUGGAUUACUACUACCCUGGAGUUGGCAAAGUCUGUUUUAAACUAUUGUUAGAGGAAAACAUAAAAAUCAAGUUUAGAGUUUAUGUAUUAAGAACAAGAUUUGUUACAAAUUACUUUUUCUGUUCUUAUAUACAAGUUACUUUUACUUAAUAGAAAGUCUUUUAAUAUAA